CUUUUUGCUAUUUCUUGGGCCGCUCUCGCGGCAUAUGGAGGUUCCCAGGCUAGGGGUCUAAUCGGAGCUGUAGCCACCGGCCUACGCCAGAGCCACAGCAACGCGGGAUCCGAGCCACGUCUGCAACCUACACCACAGCUCACGGCAACGCCAGAUCGUCAACCCACUGAGCAAGGGCAGGGACCGAACCCGCAACCUCAUGGUUCCUAGUCGGAUUCGUUAACCACUGCGCCAUGAUGGGAACUCCAGAGACCUCUUCUUGAAAACAUUAUGAUAAAAACGGUAUAUGAAACUACAUCUUCAAAUUAAAACAUAUAUAGUCCUUAUAAUUAUCUUGUUUUGGAGAAAAAUUAAAAUGUCUGAUAGCACAAUAAAAUUUUGUAUCUCUUAAUAGAGAAAGCAUUACUCUGUGGCCAAGUGUCAUGCAAUCUAAUCAAAGAGACUGACCACCUUUUUGUCAAAUAUCACAUUUUCAUCAAGAUUUAAUUAAGGAGCUUUUCUUCCUAUUGAUCCCAGAUAUUAUAUGAUACUAUAGCUAAUGCCUCAAAAUCUUCCAUGCAUGGAGGCAAAGUACAUUUAUGUAAUUAUAAAUCUAAUACACAAAAGUUUCCUAAGUAUGUAAAUUGCACUUAUAAAAACUCAUAACACUAAAAUGUAGAAAUCACAUCACUAAUUUAACAUAUCAACUACUUUCGAAGGCUCUAAACUAUUUUAAAAUGGAAAAAAUAGAUAAAUUAUUCCAUUAUUCUAAAACUCAUUGUUAUACUUGCAUUAAACCUAGCAUAAAAAUCCUGACACCAAGGAUCUAACUAAUCCUUUGGCACAUUUCUCUUCAGAUCUCACAAUAAUCAAAAGACACUCAAAAGGAAAAAGAUAUCAUUACAUCCUAUCUGGAUUAUGGGGGGGGGGUAUUAUUAUUAUUAUGGAGUAAGUGGUUCUUGGUUGGGACAUGAAUCUGGAGUGAAAUUUCCAAGGUGAUUCAACUUUGUGCCAAUAUUCUCCAAGCCUUUUUUAUUUUUUUAAGUCUAGGUUUCUUUGCUAAACCAAUAGUAUGUUUUCUAUCUUUCCUUGCACAGAAUUUUCAUAUUUUUAUAAAUUAUCUUUUUCUGAAAUAGUGUGUCCUUUAGUAUCAACUUAGUAUCACUUUGUUAGUAACAGGUUUACUUAGUUUAGUAAGUUUAGAAAUUAGUGAAUUAAUUUGGAGCUUCUCUUCAAACAAAAAAAAAAAAACUUUGAGUAAUUUAAAUGGAGAGGAGUAUUCGAGACUAAAAUUUGGAGUCAUCUGAAUUUCACCUAGAUAACAAACAAUUUCUAGAGGUAGGGGAGAUGAAUACUUUUUGGGAUAGAACUUAAAAAUAGAUUUAUCCUUGAGGAAAAACUCACAAUGACAGUUAUAAUUUAGUAACUUGAUUUUUUUUCUUAAAUAAUCUUGCAUUUAUUUUCUCCACAGUGUAUUUCAGAUUUCAUCGGAUUGCCUCUAUAACUACAUCUUCUUUUAAAAUUCUCUUCUGUUUCAUGGACCAUAAUUCUGUAGUUAACCACUAACAUCACUAACUUUCUAAAGGAAGUUGGCCUGAUUGUAUGACCAGUUUAGGAAGAAACAGGAUGAACUUAAUUUGGUGUCAUUAACUGGCACUGAUUUGUGCUUUCUUUGAACUCUUCUACCCUGCAGAACUUUUCCUUGGACAUCAUUUUUCUUGAUCAGCUUCCUGCUGACACCACAUAAAGCUGCUUGCUCCCUAACCUACCCCUUUUCUCCACUGCCCUGCCUUUCCCUUUUAAGCAUGUUUUCAGCUGGACACUAAUUCACUUCAAGAAAGGGGCUCCCCAAAUUUUUUUUUUUUGUAUUUCUGAAUUAUAUAACACCAAUUCUGUUCUAUUGUAAGAUACAAAUCAUCCACAUACAGAAAAUUCUGUAUUUUUUAUAGUUCCAGUUGGAAAGAUUAGGCACAAUUUUAAAGUUGCAUUGCCACUUAGCUACAAUUAACUGACUUCCUGGUAUAUGAAAAAUGUUAACCUAGUGCAAACCUGUGGCCCUUAUAAUAGUAAUAUCCUAAGUAGUUAAUAUUCUUGUCAUCUCCAGGCUAUUCUACAUACAAACAAUGUGCAUAAAGAAUUGAAGACAUACAUAAUCCUCAAGAUUGGGAAAACUGUUUUUCAAUAUGAAAAACAGCAUACAUUUUGCUGGUGCAAAAAAUCUGAUAGAUAAUCACCUGAGAAAUGAACUUUCCUGCCGAGGAAAAGCGGAAUUUUACUGGUGUUGAAAUGAUAAUUUAUAGAAUAAAAAUCACAAGCCAAUCCAACAUUCAAUAUUAAUUAUAUUGAGUCAUAUUUCAAAAAAUUGUUGGAGAUAAUUUACUAAUUUGUCUAAAUAUAUCUUGCAAAGAUCAUGGUCAGCUUUAUCCAACUGCUGCUUAUAUUUGGGUCCCAUAGGAAGUGAUUAGAUAUAUUUAUUAGUUUAACCACCUCUCUUUUGCAAAAAUGUGUUUUCUAUUUGUGCCAGUUAUCAAUUUAUUGUGUUUCAGCUCUAAAUCCAUCCUUCACUGCCCUAUUUGUGAUACUGGAGCUGGACCUUGUAAAUAUUUCUCCUUUGCCAGCUGGCAAAAUGUUAAACUUUGCCAGUAGAGGGCUCUGAAGGGCUGCUGCUGUAGAAAAGGGUUAGUAUUCCUAGUCUUGUGUUUUCCUUCCUUUUUCCUGCUGCAAAUCUCAGCUGAGUAAGGGAGUGUCAGGGAGGCUCACCCAUAGCCAGUGUCAAGGACAUCUCCAUGGGCAGCUUAGCUAAAUAAACAACACUCACCACUGGCCGCUUCCUAAUUUUCUUGGCAUCCCAACUGAUGAUUUCCUGACCAUCAGCCUUGGCCUGGUUCUCUUCAAUGAACUCCUCCACUAUCCAGUGUGUUACAGCUAUGCUCCCUCCAAUAAGAUCUAAAUUUCAGCCUUGGAGGGAGGGGAUUCCCCCAGAUCUGUCUCUCCCUUCAAUAUAUUGCCUCAGCCCUGUGAGCCCCUAUAUCCUCUAUUCUUCUAUGCUUUAGAGUUCUUCUUAUGCUUAGUAGUCAAGCCCUGUUGCACAAAUACUGUUAUGAAUGAAAAGUCUUUAUAUAAAACUCUCCCUAAAUAAAAUUUCCAUCUGAUUUCUGUCUUCUAACUUCAGAGUGAGUGACACACUAUUCAUAAGAAUAUUUUGAAGAACUCAACUUUACAAAUCUCACUGUGACCACAAAUUCAAAAUCUUGUACCAUCUGCCCACAAACUAUCAUUUUCAAUGGCCAUCUCCCUGGUCCACAAAGGCUAUCUGGGAAAUAUUUUACUUGGCAGAUAGAAAAAUCACCAGAAAUUAUUUUUCCCUUUUAUUCAUGUUCUUUUGUUGUAAUAUUGUCCAUAUUGACCACUGGCUGGUGGUAUAACUUGUCUGGGCUGAUUGAACUGUAAUGAAUCUAAUAUGAAGAAAGGCUUAAAAAGUGCUUGUGCAAUGGGGCUUGCCUUCUUAUGUUGUAUAGAACCCAGAGACUACUAUUUAGUGAGUCUGAGCUAAUUUACCAAAGAUAGAGACACCCCAUGAAAGAUAACUUAAGAUACCCUGACAAAUGGUUGUCAGUGAGUCCAUUCUAGAUCAGGCAGCCAACAGCCAAUCCAUCAGUGGACUACAUCAAGCUGAUCCAGACCUCCCAGUAGACCUACAGAGUCAUGAGUUACAUAAAUUGAGUGCUAUAUUAAAAAAAUACUAGAUUUUGUGCACCUCAAAAAAUCAAAUACCUCAGAAUACACCUGACCAAGGAGGUAAAGGACUUAUAUGCAGAGAACUAUAAAACACUAAUCAAAGAAAUUAAAGAAGAUGUAAAGAAAUGGAAAUAUAUUCCAUGUUCAUGGAUUGGAAAAAAUCAAU
This 3883-nucleotide long non-coding RNA is filed under the name Sus scrofa (pig). RNAcentral's name for it is "lncRNA (ENSSSCG00000053388.1)". Lineage: Eukaryota; Metazoa; Chordata; Mammalia; Artiodactyla; Suidae. The record is from RNAcentral.